Molecule: long non-coding RNA, 480 nt
Organism: Ipomoea triloba (trilobed morning glory)
Lineage: Eukaryota; Viridiplantae; Streptophyta; Magnoliopsida; Solanales; Convolvulaceae
Exons: 2
Source: RefSeq, a predicted model, not a curated record
AAAGCCUUUCCCGGACUCUGAACUCCGAAGACUCUUGACGCCGUGGGUCUCGCCUCCUCACCAGCGCCGUCCACCGCCUCCGAAGCCUCAGUCCUUACCGGCGAUGCAGCUUCCUGUUUUGGAUGGAAAAUGGCUAGGAGUGGAGGUUGUGGCUGGUUGCUCUCCACUGUUGCUUCCAUUAUUUUGAUUUUGGAUUGAAAUUGAAAAUGAGAGACAGUGACGGUGGACUAGGUGAGUGACGAUGGCGGUGGAUUGCUCUCCAUUUUUGCUUCCGUUAUUUUGAUUUUGGAUUGAAAAUGAGAGACGGUGGCGGUGGACUGGUUGAGUGACGGUGGCGGGAUUGCUCUCCAUCAUUGCUUCCAUUAUUUUGAUUUUGGAUUGAAAUUGAAAAUGAGAGAUGGUGGCGGUGGAUUGCAUUCUUGAUGUUGUCAAUUUGUGAUUCACUGGUUUAUGAAUCUUAUGAUUUCAUCUGUUUGUCCC